AGUGAACGCUGGCGGUAGGCCUAACACAUGCAAGUCGAACGGCAGCACAGGAGAGCUUGCUCUCUGGGUGGCGAGUGGCGGACGGGUGAGGAAUACAUCGGAAUCUACUAUGUCGUGGGCGAUAACGUAGGGAAACUUACGCUAAUACCGUAUACGACCUACGAGUGAAAGCAGGGGACCUUCGGGCCUUGCGCGAAUGAAGGAGCCGAUGUCGGCUUAGCUAGUUGGCGGGGUAAAGGCCCACCAAGGCGACGAUCCGUAGCUGGUCUGAGAGGAUGAUCAGCCACACUGGAACUGAGACACGGUCCAGAUUCCUACGGGAGGCAGCAGUGGGGAAUAUUGGACAAUGGGCGCAAGCCUGAUCCAGCCAUACCGCGUGGGUGAAGAAGGCCUUCGGGUUGUAAAGCCCUUUUGUUGGGAAAGAAAUCCAGCUGGCUAAUACCCGGUUGGGAUGACGGUACCCAAAGAAUAAGCACCGGCUAACUUCGUGCCAGCCGCCGCAGUAA
This 506-nucleotide ribosomal RNA is filed under the name uncultured bacterium. Its description in RNAcentral is "partial 16S ribosomal RNA". It matches the Rfam family "Bacterial small subunit ribosomal RNA", at positions 29 to 523 of the family's 1533-position model. The record is from RNAcentral.